This 84-nucleotide transfer RNA is filed under the name Chloroflexi bacterium HGW-Chloroflexi-6. RNAcentral's name for it is "tRNA-Leu". It matches the Rfam family "tRNA". From Rfam's summary of the family: Transfer RNA (tRNA) molecules are approximately 80 nucleotides in length. Their secondary structure includes four short double-helical elements and three loops (D, anti-codon, and T loops). Lineage: Bacteria; Bacillati; Chloroflexota. The record is from RNAcentral.
GGGGCGAUGGCGGAAUCGGCAGACGCAGCGGACUUAAAAUCCGCCGAUAGAGAUAUCGUGAGGGUUCGACCCCCUCUCGCCCCA